CGGAACGUACCCUAGAGUGGGGGAUGACGUAGCGAAAGUUACGCUAAUACCGCAUACGAUCUACGGAUGAAAGUGGGGGAUCGCAAGACCUCAUGCUCAUGGAGCGGCCGAUAUCUCAUUAGCUAGUUGGUGAGGUAACGGCUCACCAAGGCGACGAUGCGUAGCCGACCUGAGAGGGUGAUCGGCCACAUUGGGACUGAGACACGGCCCAGACUCCUACGGGAGGCAGCAGUGGGGAAUAUUGCACAAUGGGGGAAACCCUGAUGCAGCAACGCCGCGUGAGUGAUGACGGCCUUCGGGUUGUAAAGCUCUGUCUUCAGGGACGAUAAUGACGGUACCUGAGGAGGAAGCCACGGCUAGCUACGUGCCAGCAGCCGCGGUAAUAA
Molecule: ribosomal RNA, 386 nt
Filed under: uncultured bacterium
Lineage: Bacteria
Description: bacterial SSU rRNA
Rfam family: Bacterial small subunit ribosomal RNA
Source: RNAcentral